This 460-nucleotide ribosomal RNA is filed under the name uncultured bacterium. RNAcentral describes it as "partial 16S ribosomal RNA". It matches the Rfam family "Bacterial small subunit ribosomal RNA", at positions 338 to 795 of the family's 1533-position model. The record is from RNAcentral.
CCUACGGGAGGCAGCAGUGAGGAAUAUUGCUCAAUGGACGAGAGUCUGAACCAGCCACGUCGCGUGAAGGAUGACUGCCCUCUGGGUUGUAAACUUCAUUUAUAUGGGAAUAAAAUGAUCCACGUGUGGGAUUUUGUAUGUACCAUCUGCAUAAGGACAGGCUAACUACGUGCCAGCAGCCGAGGUAAUACGGAGGAUCCGAGCGUUAUCCGGAUUUAUUGGGUUUAAAGGGAGCGUAGGUGGAUUGUUAAGUCAGUUGUGAAAGUUUGCGGCUCAACCGGAGAAUUGCAGUUGAAACUGGCAGUCUUGAGUACAGUAGAGGUGGGUGGAAUGCGUGGUGUAGCGGUGAAAUGCUUAGAUAUCACGAAGAACACCGAUGGCGAAGGCAGCUCACUGGACUGCAACUGACGCUGAGGCUCGAAAGUGUGGGUAUCAAACAGGAUUAGAUACCCGAGUAGUC